UGCCUCAGUAACGGCGAGUGAAGCGGCAACAGCUCAAAUUUGAAAUCUGGCCCCAGGCCCGAGUUGUAAUUUGCAGAGGAUGCUUUUGGUGCGGUGCCUUCCAAGUUCCCUAGAACGGGACGCCAGAGAGGGUGAGAGCCCCGUACAGUUGGACACCAAGCCUUUGUAAAGCUCCUUCGACGAGUCGAGUAGUUUGGGAAUGCUGCUCAAAAUGGGAGGUAUAUUUCUUCUAAAGCUAAAUACCGGCCAGAGACCGAUAGCGCACAAGUAGAGUGAUCGAAAGAUGAAAAGCACUUUGAAAAGAGGGUUAAACAGCACGUGAAAUUGUUAAAAGGGAAGCGCUUGUGACCAGACUUGCGUCCGGUGAAUCACCCAGCUCUCGCGGCUGGGGCACUUCGCCGGCUCAGGCCAGCAUCAGCUCGCUGUCGGGGACAAAAGCUUCAGGAACGUAGCUCUCUUCGGGGAGUGUUAUAGCCUGUUGCACAAUACCCUUCGGCGGGCUGAGGUACGCGCUCCGCAAGGAUGCUGGCAUAAUGGUCAUCAGCGACCCGUCUUGAAACACGGACCAAGGAGUCAACCUUAUGUGCGAGUGUUCGGGUGUCAAACCCCUACGCGUAAUGAAAGUGAACGCAGGUGAGAGCUUCGGCGCAUCAUCGACCGAUCCUGAUGUUCUCGGAUGGAUUUGAGUAAGAGCAUAUAGGGUUGGACCCGAAAGAAGGUGAACUAUGCGUGUAUAGGGUGAAGCCAGAGGAAACUCUGGUGGAGGCUCGCAGCGGUUCUGACGUGCAAAUCGAUCGUCAAAUAUGCGCAUGGGGGCGAAAGACUAAUCGAACCUUCUA
This 839-nucleotide ribosomal RNA is filed under the name Colletotrichum gloeosporioides. Its description in RNAcentral is "eukaryotic LSU rRNA". It matches the Rfam family "Eukaryotic large subunit ribosomal RNA", at positions 76 to 946 of the family's 3401-position model. The record is from RNAcentral. Lineage: Eukaryota; Fungi; Ascomycota; Sordariomycetes; Glomerellales; Glomerellaceae.